GGGUUGUGAGGUUAAGCGACUAAGCGUACACGGUGGAUGCCCUGGCAGUCAGAGGCGAUGAAGGACGUGCUAAUCUGCGAUAAGCGUCGGUAAGGUGAUAUGAACCGUUAUAACCGGCGAUUUCCGAAUGGGGAAACCCAGUGUGAUUCGUCACACUAUCAUUAACUGAAUCCAUAGGUUAAUGAGGCGAACCGGGGGAACUGAAACAUCUAAGUACCCCGAGGAAAAGAAAUCAACCGAGAUUCCCCCAGUAGCGGCGAGCGAACGGGGAGCAGCCCAGAGCCUGAAUCAGUGUGUGUGUUAGUGGAAGCGUCUGGAAAGGCGCGCGAUACAGGGUGACAGCCCCGUACACAAAAAUGCACAUGCUGUGAGCUCGAUGAGUAGGGCGGGACACGUGGUAUCCUGUCUGAAUAUGGGGGGACCAUCCUCCAAGGCUAAAUACUCCUGACUGACCGAUAGUGAACCAGUACCGUGAGGGAAAGGCGAAAAGAACCCCGGCGAGGGGAGUGAAAAAGAACCUGAAACCGUGUACGUACAAGCAGUGGGAGCACGCUUAGGCGUGUGACUGCGUACCUUUUGUAUAAUGGGUCAGCGACUUAUAUUCUGUAGCAAGGUUAACCGAAUAGGGGAGCCGAAGGGAAACCGAGUCUUAACUGGGCGUUAAGUUGCAGGGUAUAGACCCGAAACCCGGUGAUCUAGCCAUGGGCAGGUUGAAGGUUGGGUAACACUAACUGGAGGACCGAACCGACUAAUGUUGAAAAAUUAGCGGAUGACUUGUGGCUGGGGGUGAAAGGCCAAUCAAACCGGGAGAUAGCUGGUUCUCCCCGAAAGCUAUUUAGGUAGCGCCUCGUGAAUUCAUCUCCGGGGGUAGAGCACUGUUUCGGCAAGGGGGUCAUCCCGACUUACCAACCCGAUGCAAACUGCGAAUACCGGAGAAUGUUAUCACGGGAGACACACGGCGGGUGCUAACGUCCGUCGUGAAGAGGGAAACAACCCAGACCGCCAGCUAAGGUCCCAAAGUCAUGGUUAAGUGGGAAACGAUGUGGGAAGGCCCAGACAGCCAGGAUGUUGGCUUAGAAGCAGCCAUCAUUUAAAGAAAGCGUAAUAGCUCACUGGUCGAGUCGGCCUGCGCGGAAGAUGUAACGGGGCUAAACCAUGCACCGAAGCUGCGGCAGCGACGCUUAUGCGUUGUUGGGUAGGGGAGCGUUCUGUAAGCCUGUGAAGGUGUGCUGUGAGGCAUGCUGGAGGUAUCAGAAGUGCGAAUGCUGACAUAAGUAACGAUAAAGCGGGUGAAAAGCCCGCUCGCCGGAAGACCAAGGGUUCCUGUCCAACGUUAAUCGGGGCAGGGUGAGUCGACCCCUAAGGCGAGGCCGAAAGGCGUAGUCGAUGGGAAACAGGUUAAUAUUCCUGUACUUGGUGUUACUGCGAAGGGGGGACGGAGAAGGCUAUGUUGGCCGGGCGACGGUUGUCCCGGUUUAAGCGUGUAGGCUGGUUUUCCAGGCAAAUCCGGAAAAUCAAGGCUGAGGCGUGAUGACGAGGCACUACGGUGCUGAAGCAACAAAUGCCCUGCUUCCAGGAAAAGCCUCUAAGCAUCAGGUAACAUCAAAUCGUACCCCAAACCGACACAGGUGGUCAGGUAGAGAAUACCAAGGCGCUUGAGAGAACUCGGGUGAAGGAACUAGGCAAAAUGGUGCCGUAACUUCGGGAGAAGGCACGCUGAUAUGUAGGUGAAGCGACUUGCUCGUGGAGCUGAAAUCAGUCGAAGAUACCAGCUGGCUGCAACUGUUUAUUAAAAACACAGCACUGUGCAAACACGAAAGUGGACGUAUACGGUGUGACGCCUGCCCGGUGCCGGAAGGUUAAUUGAUGGGGUUAGCGCAAGCGAAGCUCUUGAUCGAAGCCCCGGUAAACGGCGGCCGUAACUAUAACGGUCCUAAGGUAGCGAAAUUCCUUGUCGGGUAAGUUCCGACCUGCACGAAUGGCGUAAUGAUGGCCAGGCUGUCUCCACCCGAGACUCAGUGAAAUUGAACUCGCUGUGAAGAUGCAGUGUACCCGCGGCAAGACGGAAAGACCCCGUGAACCUUUACUAUAGCUUGACACUGAACAUUGAGCCUUGAUGUGUAGGAUAGGUGGGAGGCUUUGAAGUGUGGACGCCAGUCUGCAUGGAGCCGACCUUGAAAUACCACCCUUUAAUGUUUGAUGUUCUAACGUUGACCCGUAAUCCGGGUUGCGGACAGUGUCUGGUGGGUAGUUUGACUGGGGCGGUCUCCUCCUAAAGAGUAACGGAGGAGCACGAAGGUUGGCUAAUCCUGGUCGGACAUCAGGAGGUUAGUGCAAUGGCAUAAGCCAGCUUGACUGCGAGCGUGACGGCGCGAGCAGGUGCGAAAGCAGGUCAUAGUGAUCCGGUGGUUCUGAAUGGAAGGGCCAUCGCUCAACGGAUAAAAGGUACUCCGGGGAUAACAGGCUGAUACCGCCCAAGAGUUCAUAUCGACGGCGGUGUUUGGCACCUCGAUGUCGGCUCAUCACAUCCUGGGGCUGAAGUAGGUCCCAAGGGUAUGGCUGUUCGCCAUUUAAAGUGGUACGCGAGCUGGGUUUAGAACGUCGUGAGACAGUUCGGUCCCUAUCUGCCGUGGGCGCUGGAGAACUGAGGGGGGCUGCUCCUAGUACGAGAGGACCGGAGUGGACGCAUCACUGGUGUUCGGGUUGUCAUGCCAAUGGCACUGCCCGGUAGCUAAAUGCGGAAGAGAUAAGUGCUGAAAGCAUCUAAGCACGAAACUUGCCCCGAGAUGAGUUCUCCCUGACCCUUUAAGGGUCCUGAAGGAACGUUGAAGACGACGACGUUGAUAGGCCGGGUGUGUAAGCGCAGCGAUGCGUUGAGCUAACCGGUACUAAUGAACCGUGAGGCUUAACCUUACAACGCCGAAGCUGUU
Molecule: ribosomal RNA, 2930 nt
Filed under: Escherichia coli
Lineage: Bacteria; Pseudomonadati; Pseudomonadota; Gammaproteobacteria; Enterobacterales; Enterobacteriaceae
Description: 23S ribosomal RNA
Rfam family: Bacterial large subunit ribosomal RNA
Source: RNAcentral